Molecule: long non-coding RNA, 841 nt
Filed under: Danio rerio (zebrafish)
Lineage: Eukaryota; Metazoa; Chordata; Actinopteri; Cypriniformes; Danionidae
Description: lncRNA (ENSDARG00000117499.1)
Source: RNAcentral
UUCCUUAACCUGAACCAGGCAGUAAUGUCUUGUGUGCUUUUUUUUUUUUCUCCACAGCUGGUUUGAUCCAUGUAAUUCAUGCAGUGACCUUCAGUAUUAAGAGAAGAUGGGGGAAAAAAAGGCCCUGCAAACAGAUACAGCCAUUAUUUCCACGCUAUGCCAAGGUUGCUGUAAGAACAAUCCACUUCAGAAAGGAAAAUGGGGCGUAUGGUUUGUCACAAGUCGACCGUCUGGAUGAAUCGCAGAUAGAGAGAGAGAGAGGGGAAAAAAGAUCUCUCCGGCUCCCUAUCGAGCGAGGCCAAAACAGCGUGCAUGGAGAGUCCGGCGCGAAAUGGCAGUUGUUCUUCAGGGAUCAAUGCGUUGACCAGGAGGGCCUCCCUCCCCCUGGAGACUGUCAUUUCUUCGAGGAAUUCACAGAAGUGGAAGAUGAAAGCUUCGUGUCAUCGGCUCACCCAAAAACACCCGGCCAUAAGAGUCUCAGCCAAUGCCACAUCAAGGCCAAGGCCAGAAAGAGAGACGAGACCGCCAUCUUAGCCGGCUCUGCUUCGUAACAGCUGCCAUUUAUACCAAUCAGGUGUGACAGGCCCACAGGUUGACUUUUUUUCUUGUUAAUUGUUGACAUUUUGUUUUGGUUUCUGUCCUUGCCCUCAGAUUUAGGAAGCAUUAAUCAAGAAAUCAGUUUGUUUGAUUGUUUCAUAAAGUGAUAAAUCACCCAAAAAUAAUAAUACAUCAAACUCGCCCUUCACUUGUUCCAAACCUGUUUAACUUUCUUCUGUUGAACACAAAAGCAGAUAUUUUGAUGAAAGCUGAAAACCUGUAACCAUUGAGAGCCGUAGUGUUU